UACGGAGGGGAGGAGCGUUGUUCGGAAUUACUGGGCGUAAAGCGCACGUAGGCGGAUUUGUAAGUCAGGGGUGAAAUCCCGAGGCUCAACCUCGGAACUGCCUUUGAUACUGCAAAUCUCGAGUCCGGAAGAGGUGAGUGGAAUUCCUAGUGUAGAGGUGAAAUUCGUAGAUAUUAGGAAGAACACCAGUGGCGAAGGCGGCUCACUGGUCCGGUACUGACGCUGAGGUGCGAAAGCGUGGGGAGCAAACAGG
This 253-nucleotide ribosomal RNA is filed under the name uncultured bacterium. RNAcentral describes it as "partial 16S ribosomal RNA". It matches the Rfam family "Bacterial small subunit ribosomal RNA", at positions 524 to 776 of the family's 1533-position model. The record is from RNAcentral.